Molecule: ribosomal RNA, 773 nt
Filed under: uncultured Streptococcus sp.
Lineage: Bacteria; Bacillati; Bacillota; Bacilli; Lactobacillales; Streptococcaceae
Description: bacterial SSU rRNA
Rfam family: Bacterial small subunit ribosomal RNA
Source: RNAcentral
GACGAACGCUGGCGGCGUGCCUAAUACAUGCAAGUAGAACGCACAGUUUAUACCGUAGCUUGCUACACCAUAGACUGUGAGUUGCGAACGGGUGAGUAACGCGUAGGUAACCUGCCUGGUAGCGGGGGAUAACUAUUGGAAACGAUAGCUAAUACCGCAUAAUAUUAAUUAUUGCAUGAUAAUUGAUUGAAAGGUGCAAAUGCAUCACUACCAGAUGGACCUGCGUUGUAUUAGCUAGUAGGUGAGGUAACGGCUCACCUAGGCGACGAUACAUAGCCGACCUGAGAGGGUGAUCGGCCACACUGGGACUGAGACACGGCCCAGACUCCUACGGGAGGCAGCAGUAGGGAAUCUUCGGCAGUGGACGAAAGUCUGACCGAGCAACGCCGCGUGAGUGAAGAAGGUUUUCGGAUCGUAAAGCUCUGUUGUAAGAGAAGAACGGGUGUGAGAGUGGAAAGUUCACACUGUGACGGUAUCUUACCAGAAAGGGACGGCUAACUACGUGCCAGCAGCCGCGGUAAUACGUAGGUCCCGAGCGUUGUCCGGAUUUAUUGGGCGUAAAGCGAGCGCAGGCGGUUAGAUAAGUCUGAAGUUAAAGGCUGUGGCUUAACCAUAGUACGCUUUGGAAACUGUUUAACUUGAGUGCAGAAGGGGAGAGUGGAAUUCCAUGUGUAGCGGUGAAAUGCGUAGAUAUAUGGAGGAACACCGGUGGCGAAAGCGGCUCUCUGGUCUGUAACUGACGCUGAGGCUCGAAAGCGUGGGGAGCGAACAGG